Long non-coding RNA from Panicum virgatum (switchgrass), 977 nucleotides. RefSeq lists it as uncharacterized. The transcript is spliced from 4 exons. The record is from RefSeq and is a predicted model, not a curated record. Lineage: Eukaryota; Viridiplantae; Streptophyta; Magnoliopsida; Poales; Poaceae.
ACACUUUUCGCGAACUAGACGGAAAUAUACAAAGAGACAAUCUGAGGAUGCUCCGAAGGGUAAUUCACAAGCGACAUAUAGAUCGGGUGUUAAAUGGAAACAUGUAGAAACAGCGAUUCAAGAUCUUUGUGAGGAACAAGGUGACUGUGAUGACACCAUGGAUGAGGACGGUGAAGGAGGGUAUAAUGGACACCCUUGCUGCCGGAGAGCAUAGAGGUCUGAAGGCUGGUAAAUUGGUUGUUUUAUCUAAGAAUUUUUCUGGAAGUGAUAGAGAUGUGCGGUGUAGAUUCAUGGAUGCAAUGUCAUUAGUUGCUAAAUAUGGAAAGCCAGAUUACUUUUUAACCAUGACUUGCAACCCGUAUUGGCCGGAGAUCACAUAACUUUUGUUGCCUGGGCAGACACCUCAAGAUAGACCAGAUAUUGUGGCGAGGGUUUGUCAUGCAAAACUCAUUGAUUUCCAUGACUUUGUUAUUAAGAAGGGGUUCUUUGGGAAAGUGGCAGCUUGGGCACACAUUACCGAGUUUCAGAAAAGAGGUUUGCCGCAUGAACAUUUCUUGCUUAUAAUGGACAGCAGUUCAAAGCUUAGUGGGCCAGAUGAUUUUGACAAAUAUAUUUCAGCAGAACUUCCGGAUGAAAAGAAAUACCCGCUUCUCCACAAACUUGUCUGCAAAUAUAUGAUGCAUGGCCCUUGUGGUGUUCUUAACAGAAAUUGUGGUUGCAUGCAGGAUGGUGCUUGUUGUUUCAGAUACCCUAAGCAGUUCAGUGAGACCACGGAGCAAGAAAAGGAUGCAUAUCCUAUAUACAGAAGACGAAAUGAUGGUCACAAGGUAUUUGUGCGUAAGAAAUGGUUGGAUAAUAGAUGGAUUGUACCAUAUAAUCCAACACUCCUGAUGAGAUAUAAUUGCCACAUCAAUGUUGAAGUUUCAAGCAGUAUCAAAGGUUGUAAGUAUCUUUAUAAAUAUGUGUUUUCGGAUCUA